RNAcentral lists this ribosomal RNA (499 nucleotides) under uncultured bacterium. RNAcentral describes it as "partial 16S ribosomal RNA". It matches the Rfam family "Bacterial small subunit ribosomal RNA", at positions 28 to 507 of the family's 1533-position model. The record is from RNAcentral.
GACGAACGCUGGCGGCGUGCCUAAUACAUGCGAGUCGAGCGAAGUUUUUCUGGUGCUUGCACUAGAAAAACUUAGCGGCGAACGGGUGAGUAACACGUAAAGAACCUGCCUCAUAGACUGGGACAACUAUUGGAAACGAUAGCUAAUACCGGAUAACAGUAUUUCUCGCAUGAGAGAUAUUUAAAAGUUGGUUAUGCUAACACUAUGAGAUGGCUUUGCGGUGCAUUAGCUAGUUGGUGGGGUAAAGGCCCACCAAGGCGACGAUGCAUAGCCGACCUGAGAGGGGGAUCGGCCACACUGGGACUGAGACACGGCCCAGACUCCUACGGGAGGCAGCAGUAGGGAAUCUUCCGCAAUGGGCGAAAGCCUGACGGAGCAACGCCGCGUGAGUGAAGAAGGAUUUCGGUUCGUAAAGCUCUGUUGUUAGGGAAGAAUGGAUAUGUAGUAACUAUACAUGUAAGAGACGGUACCUAACCAGAAAGCCACGGCUAACUACGUG